Herpailurus yagouaroundi (jaguarundi) is the source of this 1975-nucleotide long non-coding RNA. RefSeq lists it as uncharacterized. The transcript is spliced from 3 exons. Lineage: Eukaryota; Metazoa; Chordata; Mammalia; Carnivora; Felidae. The record is from RefSeq and is a predicted model, not a curated record.
GGUCGUGAUCGCACAACUGACUCCAGAAAGGCUCUGCAGACAGGAGGUCUGCCACGAGUCACCUGCUCCUGGGGCACACCCCCUUGGACGCACAGUGAUUACGGGGUGGACGGCACGUAUUAAGUGAGGUCAGGUCACGUCUCCGCAGCAGCCCUUGUGAUUAUCAUCUUUGCACAUUCGGUCUCACGGCAGUCUGACAGCACAUUCUGGGUCUGGAAAAAAAAAAUGGAGAAAGAGGUGGUUUUCGUGCAUUUCUAAAGGAAGCACAGAGGAGCGAGGCACUUUUUGCCGGUUUUCAAAUUCAACUGGAAGAUGCCUGUUUCCUGAGAUUUGUGCAGGUCACAAAAUGCUAACUCGGGAAAUCACAGACGACGGUUGGCCGACUUUCCCACCCGCGGACCGAGGGUCCCACCCCGCGCAUGGCCCUCUGGCAUUCCGCCGUUCUAUGAAACAGGUCGAGAUCUUUUCUUCUGACUUUGCGCCUGGGAACACUCGUGGACCAGAAGGUUUAGUUGCUUUUCCAGAAUGUGUCAAUAGGGAGCGCAGCUUGGGCCUGGAACUGGCUAGAUCCUGGCUAAGUAGACCUUGGGGUCUCUACCACUCGCACCUUUGAGGAGAAGAGAGUCGCCUCUUGCUUUCUGUCAAGUAUUUGCCCCAGACUGCUGUACCUGCUAUGAGAUUGCAGGCUAAUGAAGGCCAGACGGGAAGCCUCUGUCUUCUUUUCUUUCAAGAGACCCUGGACCUGUAUCCCAGCUUUGUUCGGAGUCAAGGAGGAAAUUCCUUCAUCGCUAACUUCACUGUCUGAGCCUGAACCAGAAAGAAUAACAUGUGCGAUUUUAACUGUUUUCAGCAUCUGUUAUGACACAAUCCGUGAAGCCUUUUGUUAAUUUUCCUGACGAUUACCUCCCGCUCAUAUCCCUUCCCCACAGCUGUCUGGCCCUUUUCCUGGGCCAGCCCGACACUCUAAAGUAACAGGAUUUCUGAAAUCCCAACUGCGCUCCGUCGCCAAAGACGACUUUGCUCACCGGGGCCCGGCGAGUUGUUUUAAAACACCGGCCCGUGCCAGGUAACAAGGCAAAGAGCUACGACUCUCUCACAACCGAGGGUAAUUCAUCAACUUGGAGGGCGCCAGAUAGAAACGGCGAGAUCCUCAACUUCCUCAAAACCCCUUUCUAGCCCUCCAAACGAAAAGUCUCACGUGCAGAAACAUAUUUGUCACAACGUGGAAAUCUCGCGAGCCAUCACCGCGGAUCCCCGUGUGGAUACUAACUUUCUGUCCCAAAUUGUAAAAUGUAUCGGCACGUGCAGUAAGGCGAUACCACGGUUUCUUAGAACCCGCGUCCCGCUUUAGGGAGAAGUAAAAGUAAGGCAGGGAAUCUUGAGUAUGAGUCUCCUCCUUAUGGGUGGAAAACUGUCUGCCACAGAUUUGGGUAGAUGGAAAAGGUCCCUGACGUUUGGACGGACCGAGUUCCUCAUCUGCAGCCCGGAAGAGGUUUUCCCCGGACGGCGGUGGGGAUGUAGUUAGUGUUCCCAAGAACUCCUUGGUGGAGAUUUUUACGUCUGGGACACGCCUCUCCCAGGUGACUGUGUACUUACGUGCUGAUCUGGAGGAGGACACGUCAGCCACCGAUCCGGAACCUCCUUAUGCCGUUUCUAGACGUACUUCUGUGGUAUUUUGGAGAACAGUAACUAUGUAGGCUCCGCCGUGCACCCCUGGUGUAGCUGUGCGUCAGCAGCCCACGGUAGGCUCUGGGGUCAACAUGAUGUUGGCCUGUUUGGGAUACGAUGGCACGUGAAGCUUUAUGUUUCGAUCCACCUCUCCACGAGAAAGCUUUCUAAAGAGCAACAGUUAUGGCACGUUGUCACAGAGAGGGUCUCAGUAGUUUUUAUUUCUUUUUUUUUUUUAAUUUUUUUAAAUAUUUAUUUAUUUUUGAGACAGGGAGAGACAGAGCAUGAACGGAGGAGGGUCAGAGAG